UAGUUUUAGUAAAACUGGGCCAAUAUUUAACCAUUUCUGGCACAAAUAACAGUGAAUCUGCUGGGAGGCCAUGCCCUAUCUUGUAAAGUGACACCAUUUUUUUUCUUCUAUUACAAUAGGUUUUGAACAACCUUUGCCAAAAAUGUGCAACCUUUGUAUGCCAAAAAUUGGUUACAUGGUUUAAAAAAAAUCCCCCAUAGACUUUUGUUAGAUAUACCUUUAAGAUCAACAUGUGCCAUUUUAAUGUCUAUAAUCCAGACAGAAAUAAUAACAAAUGCAAAUUUUUGUGUCAAAUGCCUUCAACAAUUUCAACCACUUUAAGUGCGUGUCAAAAUAAUUAUUCUUACUCCGUGCCAAGAAUUAGCUGCUCUUCUUGUCUCACAGCAGGAAUAAUAAAAAGAUCGUUUUUGUUCCCCUUUAAUCCCACCUAUUAUAGAAACUUGCGUCCUCUCUCACGCAACUGGUAAAGUAGUUUCAGGCUCAAAACCAAGUCGUUGUUUUUUUCACAACCAUUAACAAGUAUGACAUAACCCUGUUUUUAUUACAACAGCAAUGCUGUAAUUUCUCUCACUGAUCCCCAGAUGAGAAAUCCAUAAAUUAGACAAUACGAUGCAGAUUGAAUGGGUUUUUGACAGAACUCAAAAGAGCAAUGAAGUCUAUCAAAUAUUUAUAAUGGGAAACUUGAACUAUGUGUCUGCAUACACAAAUAAGAAUGUGCCAUAUUGCUGUUUCCUGACACGCUAUUGAUUCAUCCUGCUGUUCCCUGCAGAACUGACCUCACAGAAAGAAGGAUAUUUAUACUAACAAUUGGCAACAGAUGAUGCUCCAAAGACUGAAUCAAUGAACACAGUCUGUGACUUCUAAGACAGGAGUACAGUGAAAGGUGACACCAGAAGAGAGAUAAUCGGUCUACCACCAUUCACAGUGUUCUACCUCCCUGUAGAAUGAAAAGGUUACAGAGAAAGCUCAGUAAUGUCUCCAAUUCAGGUAGUUGAUGAAGCACCAAUUUUGUUUUUAAUCCAAUAUUACAUGUCAUGUCAGAAGCAGAAGACUUGCCAAAACUAUCACCCAUGCAGGUAUCACUAUCCAUCUGGCUGUACAUAAAGAAGUUUUACAGAAAAAAAGCUCCUCCUAAAACGAUCUCUUCCAGGAAUAUAUCUACUUAUCUACUCAAGUUCACUUUCUAUUAAAAUUAUAUUCAAGUUGAAUUCUUAGAAGAAAUGUUAUCUUCCGUUGCAGUCAUCCACAGUUCUAGCCAUGGAAAAGAUUCUUCCAGUUCCAGUUUCUUCAGUGGAUUGACUUUUUAUUCAGAUAUUAUUAACAUUACUCAAAAGAAUAAGAAAGAUUAUUGUCAACAGCAGUUUAUAUAACCUAUCCUGCAUCCUGAUUGGUUAAUAUGGAUUAGUAGCAUGUUAGGCUACACUAUACCUGUAUUGAACCUGUAUUUCAAGUUUUUUCUUUGACAUAUGUUAUUAUAUUUAUUUUACUGCUUAGAUCUAAGUAAAAGAAGAUAAGCAUAAUACUCGCGUCUUGUCUCUAAUAAAAUCUAUAUUUUCCUUCACCAAGGGUAGGGAAAUCUUCAAUUAUCUAAUUAUCUCUUUGGAGAAACCCUGUUUAGGUUUG
Hyla sarda is the source of this 1623-nucleotide long non-coding RNA. RefSeq lists it as uncharacterized. The record is from RefSeq and is a predicted model, not a curated record. The transcript has 6 exons. Lineage: Eukaryota; Metazoa; Chordata; Amphibia; Anura; Hylidae.